GCGGGGAUGGAGCAACGGUGGCUCAUCAGGUUCAUACCCUGAAUAUCAGACAGGUUCAAUUCCUGCCCCCGCCACCA
This 77-nucleotide transfer RNA is filed under the name Cyanobacteria bacterium UBA11371. RNAcentral's name for it is "tRNA-Met". It matches the Rfam family "tRNA". Rfam says of the family: Transfer RNA (tRNA) molecules are approximately 80 nucleotides in length. Their secondary structure includes four short double-helical elements and three loops (D, anti-codon, and T loops). Lineage: Bacteria; Bacillati; Cyanobacteriota. RNAcentral also lists the same sequence under 2 other names. The record is from RNAcentral.